GACGAACGCUGGCGGCGUGCUUAACACAUGCAAGUCGAACGGAAAGGCCCUGCUUUUGUGGGGUGCUCGAGUGGCGAACGGGUGAGUAACACGCGAGUAACCUGCCCUUGACUUUGGGAUAACUUCAGGAAACUGGGGCUAAUACCGGAUAGGAGCUCCUGCUGCAUGGUGGGGGUUGGAAAGUUUCGGCGGUUGGGGAUGGACUCGCGGCUUAUCAGCUUGUUGGUGGGGUAGUGGCUUACCAAGGGUUUGACGGGUAGCCGGCCUGGGAGGGUGGCCGGGCUCCAUAGUACUGAGGUAGGGCGCAGAAGGCAAUCGGCGGCAAGGGGCGGGAGUAUUACACAAUGGGCGGGAGCCUGAUACAGCGGCGCCGCGUGCGGGAUGACGGCCUUCGGGUUGUGAACCGAUUUCGCCGGUGACGAAGCGUGAGUGACGGUAAUGAGUAAAGAAGCACCGGCUAACUACGUG
RNAcentral lists this ribosomal RNA (468 nucleotides) under uncultured bacterium. RNAcentral's name for it is "partial 16S ribosomal RNA". It matches the Rfam family "Bacterial small subunit ribosomal RNA", at positions 28 to 507 of the family's 1533-position model. The record is from RNAcentral.